Molecule: ribosomal RNA, 253 nt
Filed under: uncultured bacterium
Lineage: Bacteria
Description: partial 16S ribosomal RNA
Rfam family: Bacterial small subunit ribosomal RNA
Source: RNAcentral
UACGUAGGGAGCAAGCGUUGUCCGGAUUUACUGGGUGUAAGGGGUGCGUAGGCGGCUUUGCAAGUCAGAAGUGAAAUCUAUGGGCUUAACCCAUAAACUGCUUUUGAAACUGCAGGGCUUGAGUGAAGUAGAGGUAGGCGGAAUUCCCGGUGUAGCGGUGAAAUGCGUAGAGAUCGGGAGGAACACCAGUGGCGAAGGCGGCCUACUGGGCUUUAACUGACGCUGAGGCACGAAAGCGUGGGUAGCAAACAGG